AGUGAACGCUGGCGGUAGGCCUAACACAUGCAAGUCGAACGGCAGCACAGUAAGCGCUUGCUCUUACGGGUGGCGAGUGGCGGACGGGUGAGGAAUACAUCGGAAUCUACUUUUUCGUGGGGGACAACGUAGGGAAACUUAUGCUAAUACCGCAUACUACCUACGGGUUAAAUCAGAGGUGCUUCGCACCUUGCCCGAUAGAAAUAGACGGUGCCGGAUUGGAUUAUCUAGUUGGUAAGGUAACGGCUCACCAAGGCAACGAUGCAUAGCCGAUCUGAGAGGGUGAUCAGCCACACUGGAACUGAGACACGGUCCAGACUCCUACGGGAGGCAGCAGUGGGGAAUAUUGGACAAUGGGCGCAAGCCUGAUCCAGCCAUACCGCGUGAGUGAAGAAGGUCUUCGGGUUGUAAAGCCCUUUUGUUGGGAAAGAAAAGCAGCAGGUGAAUCCCCCGCUGUUCUGACGGUACCCAAAGAGUAAGCACCGGCUAACUUCGUG
Molecule: ribosomal RNA, 497 nt
Filed under: uncultured bacterium
Lineage: Bacteria
Description: partial 16S ribosomal RNA
Rfam family: Bacterial small subunit ribosomal RNA
Source: RNAcentral